GCCUGGGUGGCUCAGUCAGUUAAGCACCUGACUUUGGCUCAGGUCAUGACCUCACAGUUUGUGGGUUCGAGCCCCACAUCGGACU
RNAcentral lists this transfer RNA (85 nucleotides) under Felis catus (domestic cat). It matches the Rfam family "tRNA". From Rfam's summary of the family: Transfer RNA (tRNA) molecules are approximately 80 nucleotides in length. Their secondary structure includes four short double-helical elements and three loops (D, anti-codon, and T loops). Further hydrogen bonds mediate the characteristic L-shaped molecular structure. tRNAs have two regions of fundamental functional importance: the anti-codon, which is responsible for specific mRNA codon recognition, and the 3' end, to which the tRNAs corresponding amino acid is attached (by aminoacyl-tRNA synthetases). tRNAs cope with the degeneracy of the genetic code in two manners: having more than one tRNA (with a specific anti-codon) for a particular amino acid; and 'wobble' base-pairing, i.e. permitting non-standard base-pairing at the 3rd anti-codon position. Lineage: Eukaryota; Metazoa; Chordata; Mammalia; Carnivora; Felidae. The record is from Rfam by way of RNAcentral.